This 253-nucleotide ribosomal RNA is filed under the name uncultured bacterium. RNAcentral describes it as "partial 16S ribosomal RNA". It matches the Rfam family "Bacterial small subunit ribosomal RNA", at positions 524 to 776 of the family's 1533-position model. The record is from RNAcentral.
UACAGAGGGUGCGAGCGUUGUCCGGAAUCACUGGGCGUAAAGGGCGCGUAGGUGGCGGCCCAAGUCCAUGGUGAAAGCUCGCCGCUCAACGGCGAGUCGGCCACGGAUACUGGGUUGCUCGAGCACUGUAGGGGCAGAUGGAAUUCCGGGUGUAGCGGUGGAAUGCGCAGAUAUCAGGAGGAACACCGGUGGCGAAGGCGGGUCUCUGGGCCGAUAUUGACGCUGAGGAGCGAAAGCGUGGGGAGCAAACAGG